Molecule: long non-coding RNA, 2518 nt
Organism: Bombyx mori (domestic silkworm)
Lineage: Eukaryota; Metazoa; Arthropoda; Insecta; Lepidoptera; Bombycidae
Exons: 2
Source: RefSeq, a predicted model, not a curated record
ACAUUGAUGUGCCUUUGGAAAACAUACAGCAUUGUAUUAUGAAGAAGCAGUGUGUACUUAGCUUAAAUUCCUUGUCUAUGUCCAACCAUUGACAGUCGAUUUAGUUCCAUCUUUAGCCGCUAGGUGCUGCCAGCAAGUAUAAAGGAAGCGCAGCCAUCUUUGAUCUCCAUAGCGUUGUGUACUUUCGUACUGUGAAGUCGCAAAUCCACAAAUAUUUAUUCGACUUCUUAAUAAUUGCAAAAAAUAUUUAUUUUGUGUUUCUAUGAGUGUUAUUUUGCAAUCAUUACGAGUAUUAUUUACCAAUCCUAUCAUCGGACGCCAUGAAUCACGCGUCAUCUGUUGGAGGUGAUGUUGAGUCAAGCUCCAUAAUUUCCGAGAGGGAAAACGUCCAGGCGAGACGCGAUGGAGACGCCUCGCGUUCGAACAGCUCGUCAAGCGAAAAAGAACAAAAGGAGUCUCUGCGUAAGAAACGACUGGAUUCAAAGGUAACUGUCGAUCUUCGAAUCGGCUCGUUAUCCCACCAGGUCAGUAACAUUGCAAAUCUAAUAAUGCAUCAACUGUGCGUAACAAUUAAUGUAACGGGAAUUGUUGUAAACAAAUUGAUCUCGUCAAUACGGAAAUUUUGACAAAAAACACAACAGAUUUAAACUAAUAAUCUUUGUAACAUAUUUGGCAAAUCGUCUCCGUCGUACAAAUUAUCCGAAAAAGCGUUUCAAAUUGUAUGCGGAAAAAAGGGCCGUAUGCAUAGAAAUAAGACGUCAAAGUUUAAUUUCCGUGAUCUCUAACAAAGUAUCCUGUUGCCAACGCACCACUCAUUGAGGAAUUUUUGUUUGAUAAUAUAAAUUGAAAUCUAUUCAGUCCCUCGGAGGGCUACAAUCCUAUUUGUCACAACCUCGUACAAAAGGCAAGCCAAACAUUAUAAACAAUUAUAGUCUGUAACAUCUGGCACAAUCCAGAGGGGGGCAAUUGAAGACACCGACGGGAGGCACUGAGUGCCACCAAAAUUGUAAUAAUUUGUAAACCAUGUAUGGUUACCAAAUACCGUAAAAAAAAAAAAAAAAAAUGUUUUUUCUGCGGAAGAAAAGCGACGGAUCAAUGCGUCCAAUUUUCGAUUUUCGAGAGUUGAACAAGGUCGUAAAGAUAAAACGCUUAUCUGUAACUGUUUUCGGACACCUCGGUACCAAACUUUCUCCAACCAGGGGACUGGAUGAUAAAAUUGAACAUUUGUCAGGAACAUUUUUCUAGUACCAGUCGCAAAAUUUCGUCGAUACUUCUUGAGGAUCAGUACCAAGGUACCAACCAGUACCUUCAGGAAGGAAUCGGUAUCUUCUUAAGAGUUAGUAUGAAAUGACAUGCCUACCCUUCGAUCUGGCUUCAGCGCCACACCUUUUUGCUUUCAUAACAUGCGGGUCGCAGAGACCUUGCGUGCAAAGGGAACUCGAGUGCUAGUCUUCCUAGACGACUUCCUUUUGGUCGACCAAGACAAAUCCAAGUUCAAACUUCAGGCUGCAGAAGCUGUGAAGCUUUUGGAUUAACCUUUUUUGCUUUCAUAACAUGCUGGGUCGCAGAGACCUUGCGUGCAAAGGGAACUCGAGUGCUAGUCUUCCUAGACGACUUCCUUUUGGUCGACCAAGACAAAUCCAAGUUGAAACUUCAGGCUGCAGAAGCUUUGAAGCUUUUGGAUUAUCUGGGCUGGCAUGUCAAUUUCCAUUAUAUAGGGUGCUCGGUCGCUCGGUCGCGGAGACAUUGCGUACAUAGGGAAGUCAAAUAUUAACGUACUUACGCGACUUUCUCUUGGUCCUUGAAGACAAAUUUACCUUUUUGCUUCCAUAGCAUGCUCGGUCGCGGAGACAUUGCGUGCAAAGUACAGUGCUAGCUUACCUACACGACUUGAUCUUGUUCCACCAAGACAAAUAAACGUUUUUGCUCCCAUAGCAUGCCUCGGUCGCGAAGACCUUACGUACAUAGGGAAGCCAAAUGUUAACCUACCUACGCGACUUUCUCUUGGUCCAUGAAGACAAAUACACCUUUUUUGCUUGCAUAGCAUGCUCGGUCACGGAAACUUUGCGUGCAAAGGGAAGUUGAGUGUUAGUCCACCUACGCAAGUCCCUCCUGGUCCAUCAAAAGAAGUCCAAGUUGAGCCUUCAGGCCACAUAAGCUGUGAGGCUCUUGGAUUAUUUGGGCUGCCAAGUCAGCCUUACAAAAAAUCAAUUAGCACACUGGUUCAAGAGAUGACAUGUCUAGGGAUUCGAUGAAAAAUUGCGAGAAAUAAAGUGGCCACUCAACAACAUCCUAGCUCAAACCCUGACGGAGUUACAUCAAUCUAUGUUAACUUGCAAAUUUUCUUGCGAAGCUUCAAAAAAAAACACCCCCGUAAAAAACAGGCCAUCCUGCAUGUGUUCACAAUUAAAUGCAGUGCUGACGCGGAGCCACAUGUCAAAUAUUGCCGAUACACAAAACCAAACAUUUCCUGGUAACGAAAGCUUCGGACAUGGGUAGGGGUUACAAUUAGACAAAA